AUUAUUCACCCUUGUCUUUUGCGUACUUCUUGUUUCCUUGGUGGGUUCGCCCACCACUAGGACAAACAUAAACCUUUUGUAAUUGCAAUCAGCGUCAGUAACAAAUUAAUAAUUACAACUUUCAACAACGGAUCUCUUGGUUCUGGCAUCGAUGAAGAACGCAGCGAAAUGCGAUAAGUAGUGUGAAUUGCAGAAUUCAGUGAAUCAUCGAAUCUUUGAACGCACAUUGCGCCCUUUGGUAUUCCAAAGGGCAUGCCUGUUCGAGCGUCAUUUGUACCCUCAAGCUUUGCUUGGUGUUGGGCGUCUUGUCUCUAGCUUUGCUGGAGACUCGCCUUAAAGUAAUUGGCAGCCGGCCUACUGGUUUCGGAGCGCAGCACAAGUCGCACUCUCUAUCAGCAAAGGUCUAGCAUCCAUUAAGCCUUUUUUCAACUUUUGACCUCGGAUCAGGUAGGGAUA
This 456-nucleotide ribosomal RNA is filed under the name Alternaria sp. SQU-KH37. RNAcentral's name for it is "eukaryotic LSU rRNA". The stretch from base 117 to 270 matches the Rfam family "5.8S ribosomal RNA". The record is from RNAcentral. RNAcentral also lists the same sequence under 1 other name. Lineage: Eukaryota; Fungi; Ascomycota; Dothideomycetes; Pleosporales; Pleosporaceae.